This 536-nucleotide ribosomal RNA is filed under the name Micrura bella. Its description in RNAcentral is "partial large subunit ribosomal RNA". It matches the Rfam family "Bacterial large subunit ribosomal RNA", at positions 1817 to 2597 of the family's 2925-position model. Lineage: Eukaryota; Metazoa; Nemertea; Pilidiophora; Heteronemertea; Lineidae. The record is from RNAcentral.
AGCUUGUUGAAUUUUAGUAACAAGUACUUCCUGCCCGGUGCUUUGUGUAAACGGCCGCGGUACUCUGACCGUGCAAAGGUAGCAUAAUCAUUUGCCCUUUUAUUGGGGGCUGGAAUGAAUGGAAUGACGUGGCUUAUGCUGUCUCUUUCUUUUAAUUGUAAAUUGUUGUUUUUGUGAAGAAGCAAAAAUGUUAAAAAAAGACAAGAAGACCCUAUUAAGCUUUACUCUAAAAUUUUUGGUAGGAUAUUUUUAUUUUAUUAUAUAUUUAUCAAUUUUCAGGGUUUGGUUGGGGUGACCGAAGAAGAUAAAGAUCUUCUUUUUUUUAAAAAACUUUAUGUUUUUUAUUGGGCCAGUAGCUUCUGAGAAUAAGAAUAAGUUACUAUAGGGAUAACAGCGUAAUUUUUUCAAAGAGCUCAUAUUGAAGAAAAAGAUUGCGACCUCGAUGUUGACUUGUUGUCUCCUGUAUUAAAGUGCCAUUAAUUUGGGACAAAGGUGUAGCAGCUAAAAGGGUUGGUCUGUUCGACCAUUAAAACAAC